AAGACUAUACUUUCAGGGAUCAUUUCUAUAGUAUGUGACUAGAGAAGUUUCUCUGAACGUGUAGAGCACCGUAUAAACCACAAGAAGGAGUUGUAGCGUUGUCUCCUGAGCGUGAAACCGGCUUUUGGUGUUGCUCGGAUGCAACUGCCGUCAGCCAUUGAUGACCGUUCUUCUCUCCGGCUUGGCGAGUAAGAGGGAGAGAACGCAGUCUGAGUGGUU
Molecule: small nucleolar RNA, 219 nt
Organism: Nomascus leucogenys (northern white-cheeked gibbon)
Lineage: Eukaryota; Metazoa; Chordata; Mammalia; Primates; Hylobatidae
Source: Ensembl